Molecule: ribosomal RNA, 532 nt
Filed under: uncultured bacterium
Lineage: Bacteria
Description: bacterial SSU rRNA
Rfam family: Bacterial small subunit ribosomal RNA
Source: RNAcentral
AAUAGAUACCCGGGUAGUCCACGCCGUAAACGAUGAGUGCUAGGUGUUGGGGGCAUCACGUCCUCAGUGCCGAAGGAAACCCAAUAAGCACUCCGCCUGGGGAGUACGGCCGCAAGGCUGAAACUCAAAGGAAUUGACGGGGGCCCGCACAAGCGGUGGAGCAUGUGGUUUAAUUCGAAGCAACGCGAAGAACCUUACCAAGGCUUGACAGUCCCAUUGACCGCGCUAGAGAUAGUGCUUCCCUUCGGGGCAAUGGUGACAGGUGGUGCAUGGUUGUCGUCAGCUCGUGUCGUGAGAUGUUGGGUUCAGUCCCGCAACGAGCGCAACCCUUAUCCUUAGUUGCCAGCAGGGUAAAGCUGGGGCUCUCUAAGGAGACAGCCGGUGAAAGCCGGAGGAAGGUGGGGAUGACGUCAAAUCAUCAUGCCCCUUACGUCUUGGGCUACACGACGUGCUACAAUGGAUGGUACAAAGGGCAGCAAAACCGCGAGGUCGAGCAAAUCCCGAUAAAGCCAUUCUCAGUUCGGAUUGUAGG